RNAcentral lists this transfer RNA (88 nucleotides) under Colletotrichum zoysiae. Its description in RNAcentral is "tRNA-His". It matches the Rfam family "tRNA". From Rfam's summary of the family: Transfer RNA (tRNA) molecules are approximately 80 nucleotides in length. Their secondary structure includes four short double-helical elements and three loops (D, anti-codon, and T loops). Lineage: Eukaryota; Fungi; Ascomycota; Sordariomycetes; Glomerellales; Glomerellaceae. The record is from RNAcentral.
GCCCAGAUCGUCUAGUUGGUUAGGAUGAUACGUUGUGGUCCUUCUUACAGCGACCGUGUUGACGGCGGUUCGAAUCCGCCUCUGGGCA